Molecule: unclassified non-coding RNA, 245 nt
Filed under: Hevea brasiliensis (rubber tree)
Lineage: Eukaryota; Viridiplantae; Streptophyta; Magnoliopsida; Malpighiales; Euphorbiaceae
Source: RNAcentral
GGUUCAUUGCAGCAUACUCAUUAGCCUUAUAAAACACACCGACGAUCUUCUUGCUCCCUGCAGAAGCAUGAAGAUGCCUGACGAGAGGUGAUGACUUAGAGGUUACAGAGGAGGAAAGAGCUCGAAUCGCUGCUGUAGCAGCCUGCUUCAUCGCCAUGAUCGUCGUCUAUUGAAUCUCUGAGAAAGUUAAUGAGAGACUCGUGAACGAUGCAGAUGAAAACGAUGAUGAUGGGUUGAGUGUGUGG